GUCGGGAAGAGGAAGAAAGAGAGAGCCUAAGAGCAGUGGGAGUGGGAACAUGAUGGAAAGCCUACCAUGUUUGUUUCCUACCAUGUUUGUUUCCUCUAAAGAUGGGGGAGAAAACAUUGGUGCUUUCCGAUGCCUCCCAUUCCUAUCGUUCUUAGGUACUCCUUCCCCUUCCUUCUCUCU
This 180-nucleotide microRNA precursor is filed under the name Setaria italica (foxtail millet). RNAcentral's name for it is "MIR2118 microRNA precursor family". It matches the Rfam family "MIR2118 microRNA precursor family". Lineage: Eukaryota; Viridiplantae; Streptophyta; Magnoliopsida; Poales; Poaceae. RNAcentral also lists the same sequence under 1 other name. The record is from Rfam by way of RNAcentral.